GCGUGAGUGAUGAAGGUUUUCGGAUCGUAAAACUCUGUUGUCAGGGAAGAACAAGUGCCGGAGUAACUGCCGGCACCUUGACGGUACCUGACCAGAAAGCCACGGCUAACUACGUGCCAGCAGCCGCGGUAAUACGUAGGUGGCAAGCGUUGUCCGGAAUUAUUGG
RNAcentral lists this ribosomal RNA (166 nucleotides) under Cytobacillus firmus. RNAcentral describes it as "Bacillus firmus partial 16S ribosomal RNA". It matches the Rfam family "Bacterial small subunit ribosomal RNA", at positions 399 to 557 of the family's 1533-position model. The record is from RNAcentral. Lineage: Bacteria; Bacillati; Bacillota; Bacilli; Caryophanales; Bacillaceae.